Molecule: ribosomal RNA, 2894 nt
Filed under: Pokkaliibacter plantistimulans
Lineage: Bacteria; Pseudomonadati; Pseudomonadota; Gammaproteobacteria; Oceanospirillales; Balneatrichaceae
Also listed under: 1 other name
Description: 23S ribosomal RNA
Rfam family: Bacterial large subunit ribosomal RNA
Source: RNAcentral
UUAUAUGGCCAAGUGACUAAGCGUGCACGGUGGAUGCCUUGGCAGUCAGAGGCGAUGAAGGACGUGGUAGCCUGCGAAAAGCUCCGGGGAGUCGGCAAACAGACUUUGAUCCGGAGGUGUCCGAAUGGGGAAACCCACCCCUUAGGGGGUAUCUUAUCCUGAAUACAUAGGGGUAAGAGGCGAACCGGGAGAACUGAAACAUCUAAGUACCCCGAGGAAAAGAAAUCAACCGAGAUUCCCUAAGUAGUGGCGAGCGAACGGGGACCAGCCCUUAAGUCUAUAAUGUGUUAGUGGAAGGCUCUGGAAAGUGCCGCCAUAGUGGGUGAUAGCCCCGUACACGAAAGUGCAUUUUAGAUGAAAUCGAGUAAGGCGGGACACGUGGUAUCCUGUCUGAACAUGGGGGGACCAUCCUCCAAGGCUAAAUACUCCUGACUGACCGAUAGCGAACUAGUACCGUGAGGGAAAGGCGAAAAGAACCCCGGAGAGGGGAGUGAAAUAGACCCUGAAACCGUGCACGUACAAGCAGUGGGAGCCCCUUCGUGGGGUGACUGCGUACCUUUUGUAUAAUGGGUCAGCGACUUACUAUCAGUGGCAAGCUUAACCGAAUAGGGGAGGCGUAGGGAAACCGAGUCUUAAUAGGGCGUCAAGUCGCUGGUAGUAGACCCGAAACCGGGCGAUCUAUCCAUGGGCAGGUUGAAGGUUAGGUAACACUGACUGGAGGACCGAACCGACUACCGUUGAAAAGUUAGCGGAUGACCUGUGGAUCGGAGUGAAAGGCUAAUCAAGCUCGGAGAUAGCUGGUUCUCCCCGAAAGCUAUUUAGGUAGCGCCUCGGACGAAUACCACUGGGGGUAGAGCACUGUUUCGGCUAGGGGGUCAUCCCGACUUACCAACCCGAUGCAAACUCCGAAUACCAGUGAGUACUAUCCGGGAGACACACGGCGGGUGCUAACGUCCGUCGUGAAGAGGGAAACAACCCAGACCGCCAGCUAAGGUCCCCAAGUCCUGGUUAAGUGGGAAACGAUGUGGGAAGGCUCAGACAGCUAGGAGGUUGGCUUAGAAGCAGCCACCCUUUAAAGAAAGCGUAAUAGCUCACUAGUCGAGUCGGCCUGCGCGGAAGAUAUAACGGGGCUCAAACCAGGCACCGAAGCUGCGGAUUCCUCUAAGAGGAGUGGUAGGGGAGCGUUCUGUAAGUCUGCGAAGGUGUGUUGUAAGGCAUGCUGGAGAUAUCAGAAGUGCGAAUGCUGACAUAAGUAACGAUAAAGGAGGUGAAAAGCCUCCUCGCCGGAAGAUCAAGGGUUCCUGUCCAACGUUAAUCGAGGCAGGGUGAGUCGGCUCCUAAGGCGAGGCCGAAAGGCGUAGUCGAUGGGAAACAGGUUAAUAUUCCUGUACCGCUGUUUACUGCGAUGGGGGGACGGAGAAGGCUAGGCCAGCACGGUGAUGGUUAUCCGUGUUUAAGGUUGUAGGCAGGACGUGUAGGCAAAUCCGCACGGCCAAUGCUGAGGACUGAUGACGAGCUCGUAUGAGCGAAGUGGUUGAUGCCAUGCUUCCAAGAAAAGCCUCUAAGCUUCAGGUAAACAGGACCGUACCCCAAACCGACACAGGUGAUCAGGUAGAGAAUACCAAGGCGCUUGAGAGAACUCGGGUGAAGGAACUAGGCAAAAUGGCACCGUAACUUCGGGAGAAGGUGCGCUGCCGGUGGUGAAGGACUUGCUCCGUAAGCUGCUGGCAGUCGAAGAUACCAGGCCGCUGCAACUGUUUAUUAAAAACACAGCACUCUGCAAACACGAAAGUGGACGUAUAGGGUGUGACGCCUGCCCGGUGCCGGAAGGUUAAUUGAUGGGGUUAGCGCAAGCGAAGCUCUUGAUCGAAGCCCCGGUAAACGGCGGCCGUAACUAUAACGGUCCUAAGGUAGCGAAAUUCCUUGUCGGGUAAGUUCCGACCUGCACGAAUGGCGUAAUGAUGGCGGCACUGUCUCCACCCGAGACUCAGUGAAAUUGAACUCGCUGUGAAGAUGCAGCGUAUCCGCGGCUAGACGGAAAGACCCCGUGAACCUUUACUGUAGCUUCACACUGGACUUUGAUGUUGUUUGUGUAGGAUAGGUGGGAGGCUUAGAAGCAGAGACGCCAGUUUCUGUGGAGCCAACCUUGAAAUACCACCCUGACACCAUUGAGGUUCUAACUCAGGCCCGUGAUCCGGGUCGAGGACAGUGUGUGGUGGGCAGUUUGACUGGGGCGGUCUCCUCCCAAAGAGUAACGGAGGAGCGCGAAGGUACCCUCAGGCUGGUCGGAAAUCAGCCAAUGAGUGCAAGCGUAGAAGGGUGCUUAACUGCGAGACGGACAGGUCGAGCAGGUACGAAAGUAGGUGCUAGUGAUCCGGUGGUUCUGAAUGGAAGGGCCAUCGCUCAACGGAUAAAAGGUACUCCGGGGAUAACAGGCUGAUACCGCCCAAGAGUUCACAUCGACGGCGGUGUUUGGCACCUCGAUGUCGGCUCAUCACAUCCUGGGGCUGAAGCCGGUCCCAAGGGUAUGGCUGUUCGCCAUUUAAAGUGGUACGCGAGCUGGGUUUAGAACGUCGUGAGACAGUUCGGUCCCUAUCUGCCGUGGACGUUGGAGAUUUGAGAGGAGCUGUUCCUAGUACGAGAGGACCGGAAUGGACGAACCGCUGGUGUUCGGGUUGUGAUGCCAAUCGCAUUGCCCGGUAGCUAUGUUCGGACGGGAUAACCGCUGAAAGCAUCUAAGCGGGAAGCCCCCCUCAAGAUGAGAUCUCCCUGGAUCUUGAAUCCUCUAAAGGGCCCUUGAAGACCACAAGGUUGAUAGGUGGGGUGUGUAAGUGCUGUGAGGCAUUGAGCUAACCCAUACUAAUUGCCCGUGCGGCUUGGCCAUAUAAGCUAAG